AAAUGAGGAUAUAAGCACAGCCAGGAAAACACCAUAGAAAAAAAUUAGAAAUGAGUGUUAGCAAAUGCUAAAAUUCUUUAACUAAAACUAAGUAGCCCUGGCCCUUGAUAAAAACAUAGGCAGGUAGGAUUGAGUGGAAAUUCUAGAAAUAAAUCUAAGUUAAUAUGGAACUUUAGGGUAUUAUUCAUAUCUUUAGGAACUUUAGGGUAUUAUUCAUAUUUAGGGCAUGUUCAUGUUUUUGUAUCUAUUUCUAAGUCUCCUGCCAAAACCAAAAAUCUGUCAUUUCUGGAAUCCUCUCCCACAACAUUGUCCUGGCAGGUGCCUCUUGAUUUCAUUCUAUGCUUCCAGAUAUCAAUUUUAUUCUAUACCAACACUCUCUGAUCCAACUUUAUGUACUGAUGGAAAUGAUCUUAAUCUGUCCUCUCCAAGGGGCAGCCAUUAGCCAUUAGCCACAUAUGGCUAUUGGACCUUUCAAACAGGGUUAGUUUGACUUAGGAACUUAUUUUACAGUUCUAUUUAAUUUUAAUUCAUUUGUGUGCAAAUAGCCACAUGAGGCUAGUGGGGAUCUGUUGAGAUAAUUCUUCUAUAUGCACUGGCUUCCCCCGAACAGGUCCAAGUCUGUUUACACCAGUAUCUGUGGUGUUGCAUGAGGGAUGACUGGUUUUAUCUUUCCAGGCCUUAUUAAUUCUAUUACAGAUGUUUGGGAGGAGGAGGGCUGGUUACACCCCGAGGUUAACCUCCAAAUAGAUGACCGAAGGCUCCAGUCCUUUCCCUGGAUGCUUAAAAUGGCUUGGCGCUGGUCAGACAAGAUUGCAAAAAUUCACUCUGAACCUCAGAGUGUUGUUCUUGUACAACAUUCUUGCAUUGACCUCCGUGGCCUGAUGAAAGCUGCUCACCUUCUCGGAGGUUAACCCCUUGAUCUGCAUGAAGAGGAAGCACUGCAUUGUGGCUCCACCGUAAAGAACACAAUUGCUGCAGGAGAUUCUAGAAAUCACCAUCGAAUUAGGAAAUGGAGCAUGAGAUAUGCAAAGACAAAAAUGAUACCAGCAACAGACUAAAAAAGCAGAUGACAAAAGCCUGCGCACACCUGCCCCAUGCUCGGGCACCACCUUGGAAACUAGUACUUGUUGCCGAAACUCAGAGAUGCAGCCAUCAGUACUGUGCUGAGUUCCCCCUUCUCACAAUGUGGUUCCAGUAUUUGCUUUUCAGUUAAUUAAAAGCAUUACCAGAGUGGUGAAGGACCUAUUCAAGCAAAUGAUUGCAACCACUUUGAAUAAAAAAUAAUGAGUUCAACAUCAUUUUAUCUAGUAGAAGGAUAAGUUCUUUGCUGUCAAGUGUUCAGAAUGGCCUACAUUAGUGUCUCUUGCAAUAUGCUGCUCUGGCCCAGCUCGAAUUUCAACUCAAAAUAUACAUGUGAGUGUUUGCAUCUCUGACUUUUCACCAGUGAAUCCCUGAUGGCAAACAGCUUUCUUCCCUCUGCUUCCCCCAUUCUGUUUGGGUGCUCUUUGAACUUCACUAUGUCCUCCCUUAGCGAUCAUAAGAGACGUCUGACUGUGACACAAAGACCUUUGAAAUCACACAUUAGAGACAAUGACACAUAAAGUCGGUUAUGAGAACUAGCGUGGUGUAGAAAUACAUUAUCAAUGCACACAUCAGAUAUUUGCUUAGAAGAAAGCUUUCUAAACUGGUGCAUUUGAAGAUUCAUUUUGUUCAUGUCUGACUGCUUAUGAUUUAUAAUAGUAAAGCUUCUUUCUAUCUCUCUCUUUUAACUGCUGCACUGAAAUUUACAUAAGUAAAUAUGUACUGUACAAAACUUUGUGUAUGGUUCAGGGCAAUUUUACCUCUGUAGAACAUUUGGGUUGAUCUACAACUUUGCCUACCAGGAAAUGGUUUUAAGUGUGAUAUUUUA
Long non-coding RNA from Chinchilla lanigera (long-tailed chinchilla), 1909 nucleotides. Lineage: Eukaryota; Metazoa; Chordata; Mammalia; Rodentia; Chinchillidae. The record is from Ensembl.